GACGAACGCUGGCGGCGCGCUUAACACAUGCAAGUCGAACGGAAAGGCCUGCUUUCCCUUGUGGAUUGCGGGUACUCGAGUGGCGAACGGGUGAGUAACACGUGAGUGAUCUGCCCCCAACUUGGGUAUAAGCCUGGGAAACUGGGUCUAAUUCCCGAUAGGACUGCAGGGUGGUGCCUGUGGUGGAAAACGAUUUUCUAGUGGUUGGGGAUGAGCUCGCGGCCUAUCAGCUUGUUGGUGGGGUAAUGGCCUACCAAGGCGGCGACGGGUAGCCGGCCUGGGAGGGUGGACGGCCACAUUGGGACUGAGAUACGGCCCAGACUCCUACGGGAGGCAGCAGUGGGGAAUAUUGCACAAUGGGCGGAAGCCUGAUGCAGCGACGCCGCGUGGGGGAUGACGGCCUUCGGGUUGUAAACUCCUUUCGACCGCGAGGAAGCCACCUGGUUGGGAGGGUGGUGACGGUAGUGGUAGAAGAAGCACCGGCUAACUACGUG
Molecule: ribosomal RNA, 494 nt
Filed under: uncultured bacterium
Lineage: Bacteria
Description: partial 16S ribosomal RNA
Rfam family: Bacterial small subunit ribosomal RNA
Source: RNAcentral